UGUAUUGUGAAGCUUCCAGCAGGUGCUCCACCCCUCCCCUCUCUGAUAAACGCUGUCGCCCGCCAUUCCCCCAUCCAUCCAUUUCAUCUAAACGCUGCCGACAGGGUGUUGUUCUUGGCCAGGAGCCCUAUGCUCCCUGCACUUUCCUGCCAUGGCACGCUAGAGAUCCAUCCCCCUCCCAUCCACGUGAACCAAUGCGAGGAGACCAUCCCCUCUUUCUCAAACGCCCCCCCUCCCGCUGUUGGGGCACCCCCCGACCUAGGGCUCACGGGCGAGCGCCCCUAGCGACCCGAGACACCUCCCUCUCUCCAUGUGGCCUGACUGUGAUUUGGGCGUGGCUUGCAGCCCUCCUUGCCGGUGACCCGAGGCUUGCGUGCAAGCGCCGAACGGAUGAAUCAAGUAAAUCUUUAUGAGACUAUUGAAAGGUAUCGUAAAUCACUUAAGAAAAGACAAUCUGGAUGACAAGGAUGAGUACAACGAAAAUAGGAGAUCUGAUGGAAAAUGGGGUGAUUCAAGAAGUCGACUAAAUGGAAGUUACUCCGAUCAUCAAAGUAAUAAUGGUACCUACUUGCUUACUAGAGAAAAGCUUCGAGUGUUUCCUCAGAGUGUUUUGGAAUCCUUGAUUGGAUAUGUCGCUAUAUGAUGAAGAACAUCUCAUCUGUUGCAAUGUUCCACUUCCACGGUCUUCUCCCUGUUAGCUCUCACGUCCCUUUCUCAUUCCCCUUCAUGAAGAGCUACCAUCCCUCUGCAUCGCCUCUUUGUUGAGUCUGGUUGGUCGAAAGGAUUAUGAAAGUUGAAUGUGCUCAGGAGUCAGGAUAUCUAAUUGUUUCUUCAGGUAAGUAUUCUUGGAGACCAUAUUGUCUAUUAGUUUAUUCCCUAGUGUGUGGGUUCGAAUAUGGUGGAAGCUGGACCUGUAUUGGUAGCCCUCAUGGUUCUCUUGCAGUAGAUAAUGCAGAUUUCAUAUUUUUCCAUAA
Long non-coding RNA from Zea mays, 974 nucleotides. RefSeq lists it as uncharacterized. The transcript has 3 exons. Lineage: Eukaryota; Viridiplantae; Streptophyta; Magnoliopsida; Poales; Poaceae. The record is from RefSeq and is a predicted model, not a curated record.